Molecule: non-coding RNA, 29 nt
Filed under: Mus musculus (house mouse)
Lineage: Eukaryota; Metazoa; Chordata; Mammalia; Rodentia; Muridae
Source: RNAcentral
CUGGCAUCUUAUGGAGUCGAAUGCAGGGU